CCAUAUCACAUUGAAAAACCAGUUCUAAUAUGAUAACUGAAGUUAAGCAACAUUGAGCCUGGUCAGUACCUAGAUGGGUGACUGCUUAGGAAUACCAGGUGCUGUA
Molecule: non-coding RNA, 106 nt
Organism: Acanthosepion pharaonis
Lineage: Eukaryota; Metazoa; Mollusca; Cephalopoda; Sepiida; Sepiidae
Source: the annotation of a GenBank genome assembly